GACGAACGCUGGCGGCGUGCUUAACACAUGCAAGUCGAACGAAGUGGCGAACGGGUGAGUAACGCGUAAACAACCUGCCCUUCAGAGGGGGACAACAGUUGGAAACGACUGCUAAUACCGCAUACUGAGGGAGGGGAUUGGGUCGGAUUGGCUAGUUGGAGGGGUAACGGCCCACCAAGGCGAGGAUCAGUAGCCGUUGUGGGCUGAUGAACGUGCACAUUGGGACUGGGACUCAGCCCCGGCUCAUACGGGAACCAGCAGUGGGGAUGCUUCCGCAUUGGACGAAGGUCUGACGGUGCAGCGCCGCGUGAGUGAGGACGGCCUUCGGGUUGGAAUCCGCUUUCAGCCAUGACGCGGUAGUGGCAGAAGAAGCACCGGCUAACUACGUUCCAGCAGCCGCGGUAUUC
This 407-nucleotide ribosomal RNA is filed under the name uncultured bacterium. Its description in RNAcentral is "partial 16S ribosomal RNA". It matches the Rfam family "Bacterial small subunit ribosomal RNA", at positions 28 to 525 of the family's 1533-position model. The record is from RNAcentral.